This 301-nucleotide ribosomal RNA is filed under the name uncultured bacterium. RNAcentral's name for it is "partial 16S ribosomal RNA". It matches the Rfam family "Bacterial small subunit ribosomal RNA", at positions 509 to 809 of the family's 1533-position model. The record is from RNAcentral.
CAGUAGCCGCGGGAAUACGAAGGGGGCUAGCGUUGCUCGGAAUGACUGGGCGUAAAGGGCGCGUAGGCGGUUUUGACAGUCAGAUGUGAAAUUCCUGGGCUUAACCUGGGGGCUGCAUUUGAGACGUCAAGACUAGAGUGUGAGAGAGGGUUGUGGAAUUCCCAGUGUAGAGGUGAAGUUCGUAGAUAUUGGGAAGAGCACCGGUGGCGAAGGCGGCAACCUGGCUCAUUACUGACGCUGAGGCACGAAAGCGUGGGGAGCAAACAGGAUUAGAUACCCCUGUAGUCCCUGUCUCUUAUAU